GUGGACGUGUCGGAGUGGUUAUCGGGCAUGACUAGAUAUCAUGUGGGCUCUGCCCGCGCAAGUUCGAAUCCUGUCGUCCACA
This is a non-coding RNA of Picea glauca (white spruce), 82 nucleotides long. NCBI's taxonomy places the organism in Eukaryota, Viridiplantae, Streptophyta, Pinopsida, Pinales, Pinaceae. The record is from Rfam.